UUCAGUUGUGUUUUCUUGAUGCAUGUAUUGUUUGUCUUGCGUGAUUUACAGUUAAAUUGUAAAACUGAAAAUUAAAUGUAAAUAGGAAAUUGUUUGGUUAAAUGAAUUAAUGAAACAAUUGUCUUACUAGAUAUCCUGAGAGAUGGUGGACAGACCGGGUACAUAGAUAACCUUACCGUGAACGUUACCUUUUACCGGACGGGAUAUCGAAGAAUAAUAUUCUUGGU
Molecule: long non-coding RNA, 227 nt
Filed under: Carica papaya (papaya)
Lineage: Eukaryota; Viridiplantae; Streptophyta; Magnoliopsida; Brassicales; Caricaceae
Description: long non-coding RNA (CPAP_LNC014286)
Source: RNAcentral